GUCCCAAUUACAGCGGCGUCAGGGAGGUAUAAAUUCAGAUCUCCAGGCUCCGUGUGUCUCUGCAGAUAAACUCACCGGUGCCUAUGAGAACCAAUUCCCAUUAUAAAGCACCACGUAAAACGACAGAGACCUUGGGACCGCUGAGAGCAGAAGAAACAAUAAACAUCCCACAGAGAGGAAAUGAAGUUCCCCCCCUCCCGUCUUUCCUCUUCGCUCCACCGCAUAAUAAUGAUACAGCCCUCAAGGUUUGGCAUCAGUUCCCGUCUGCAGGAACCAUACUGAAGGUUCUUUAUCACAGCAGGCUUCCCAGAGGCCAGCAAUCUUCUGCCACCUGGUUAAGCUGGCUUUAUAGCUGUGUCACAUCAGAAGUAGUGAAUAAAGGAGUAAUUAAGGGACAAGAGAAGGCACAGUGCAGCUCUAGCAGGACUGCCUGGAGAUGAAAAGACAGUGGUUUUGGGGUGUGAAGCUGGAUCAAGUUUCACACUGAAGGCUGGUGAUAGCAACAAAGCAUUUGGGAGCUGGCUACAAACCCAUCAAGGACAUACUGGGACAAGCUGAAUGUGCCACAUUCAUCCCUUAAGGGUUACAGCUCCACCUCACCAGGACAUCCCAGCUCCCCUCCAUGCCUGCUUGUUCCCAGCUAAAGUGCAGAGCUGCUGGGUUUCCCCUCAUUCCUGGGAGUCCUCAGCCACUACAAAGCAAGCAGAGCCAGCUGGAAAGCUAGAGGGAGGCAGCCCAUCAGGCAAGUGUGCAUUUGAUAAGCCUUCUGUGGCCAAUGCACCAGAAGCAAAUCCUCUCAGGAGCCAUAGAAUCAUGGAAUAACAGAUUGGAGCCCUGGUCUAUGCUUUGUGAGGAAGCAGGGGAUGGGUGAUGCUUUGAAAACCAGACGGCCAGACUUGCAUAGGCAUCACCCUGUAGGAAAGAGUCUGAAAAGACCAUCAAAUUAACUGAUUACUGCAAAAUGUGCAUUAGCUUCCCUUCUACAUGCUCCAGGCUUCCUUCUUUCCAUCCACCCAAGUACUGAAGCCCUAUAAAUGGGGAUUGCAGACAGUGUGUGAAGUAAUUUUUAUGGCUGAAAAAAAGAUAUGAAGUUAACAGAUGCUUUUAAAGCACAUUCAUCCUAACCUGGGUGCCUUGGAGCCAUUCUUGCUCUAGUAUUGCACUUAAAGAUUUUUCACCCUGGAACUUGGGAAACUAAAGAGUUUGGUGCGUUUUGAUAACAAAUUGGAUCAAAUUGUCUGGGUACUCUGUGCCUGAGGCAGAUGUUGUAAUGAAGCUGGAAAACACUUGGAAAAGCCUGAUUUCCCUCUCUAUGAUAUCUGCAUGAUGCCGGGCUGUGAGUUGGAGGAAAGGGGAACUUUUCCUCAAGAAAUCAUCCUUUGCUGAUGUUUCUUUGCUUAAUAGCUUGAUAACUGGUUGAGUUAGUCUAGCUUUCCUGGGAAAGUUUCACUAGCACCUCUUUUGCUUCCUACAUUGGAUCUUCAUUAGCUGAUCAGGUUCUCAUACUCACCUGCCUAUUUUGUAGUGUGUGAGCUCAGCUCUUAGCAAACACUGAAG
Neopsephotus bourkii (Bourke's parrot) is the source of this 1557-nucleotide long non-coding RNA. RefSeq lists it as uncharacterized. The transcript has 3 exons. The record is from RefSeq and is a predicted model, not a curated record. NCBI's taxonomy places the organism in Eukaryota, Metazoa, Chordata, Aves, Psittaciformes, Psittacidae.